CUUCUCAAGAAGCCAGAAAAAGGAGAUGAACUGGCCAGUGAAAAGCACAAAGAAAAAGGUGAAGAAGCUGACACUGAAGAAAACAAAUGGGAUAAAUCACCUGGAUCUGGAAGUAUAAUAUCCAAAUCUUUGGAGAGCUCACUAAAAGAACUUAGGGAAAAGUCACAAAAUGAUAGUGACAAAGAGCAAAGAGAUUUGGAGAGAAGAUUUCGAGAAAAAGAACCUGAAAGACAAAGGUAUCGACUGGAUGAUGGCAGAAAGCAUAGAACUCACUAUGAGUUUGACAAGUUUAUGAGAAGGAAUGAAGAAGAGCUGAAAUGGGGGAAAGGAUACAAUCAAGACAGAGGAAAGAAAGGGAACUACAGCUACAGCUUCACUGUGGAGGCAAUAGACAAACUGGGAUCGUCCAGCCAUGCAGUUGUACCAGCCAGGAGCUCGCAUCCGAACACAUAUGGGGCCUACAAGUAAAACCUAUGACUGCAGCGGGAAAUCCUUUGAAGAUGCUCUUGAUAAAAAGUAUGAGGCAGAUAAUUCAGCUGGAGCUAGUUCUGAAAAGACUGAAGAAGCAGAAUAAAACAAUCUGGGGGAAAAGGCAUGUGAAAAGGAAUGAAUUUAAGAUUCAGCGUCAUCACAAAAAAUCCAUUGGGCUGUUUCAGAACUCCGCAGGCAAUUGUAUCAACAAAAUAAUAAUAGAUCUGCCUCUUACUUUCUGUAAAAUAAAGGGAAGAGCGACUGAAGAUACAUAAAAUAUCUUACCACAAAAGGGUGUUGUUGCUUUUUUACAAAAAGCAGCUCAAGUGCUCUUUGCCUAAUUUAAAAGCAGUUCAAAAAUUUUAUUAGAUUUACCUUGAAAUAGAAGACCCUCUAACAAUUUUAAAGGAGUAUUUAUAUAAGACUUUACAGAAGCUAUGUCAUCUUUUUGAGUCUAAAGAAAUGAAAUGUAAAUUUGCAUCAGUUUGAAAUCUGAGGCACUUUACAUGUAUUUGGUGCAUGACAUGAGGGUCCAGAGGACCCCCUCCUGCAAAUGGCAGGGGCUGCUGCAGGGUGUUGCAGUCAGACUUGGUGGGACCAGCCCUGAGACAAAGCUCUGGAACCAGUGGUGUUUGUAGGAUGAGGCCCACAGUUUGCACAGUUGUGAGGAAUGUCCAGUGGUAUCUGUACCUCAUGGUGUUUACAUUGGUUUUCAAUUAACCAUAGUGUCAGAUAAGUGUUAGUAAAGCUACAAGUAUGUUGUUGGAGAGUUUGUCAUUUUCUGAGCCACUUUUGCCUUUUAUGUUUUAAUAGAUUCCUUGUGCUUAAAACAGAAGACAGCUAAUGCAAACAUCAGCACGUUAACAAUAAAUCUGGUUUUAAUUAAUUAGCUGUUUUUUAUUGUUCUGACACUGACUUUUGGACAAAAAAGAAGUGGUUGUACAGUGAUGACUUUUUAUAUGCCAAUGUUUCAUAUAAGUUGCAGUAACAGGAUUUGGAAGAUGUAAGAUACACAAACAUUCUGCAGUUUUAUUUGUUAAAAAAUUAAACACAUAUGAAUGUCAANGUGCUCAUUCUGCACCUGCACCAGAGAUCACCUGUGUGUGUGUGUGUGUGUGUCUGUCUUCUGUUGGUUUCAGUGAUUGACAUGUGUUUAUGAAAGGGCACAAUAUCUUCAUAGCUGAAAAUUUCCCAGUUGUCUGAAACUGAGGGCUGCUUAGUCAUUGAAGUUAAAUAGCAAGAUAUUAAUUUAUUUUUACAUCCUCUCUGAACAUUUUAUUAUUAAGCAUAACAUCUAAUUGUCCUAGACUGAAAAUUAUUUAUUGUAUUUUACCAGAUACUAAGCAUUAAAUAGAAUAAAAGCAAAAAA
This 1840-nucleotide long non-coding RNA is filed under the name Cyanoderma ruficeps (rufous-capped babbler). RNAcentral describes it as "lncRNA (ENSCRFG00000015583.1)". Lineage: Eukaryota; Metazoa; Chordata; Aves; Passeriformes; Timaliidae. The record is from RNAcentral.